GGAUAGCUCAGUUGGUAGAGCAUGAGACUCUUAAUAUCAGGGUUGUGGGUUCGAGCCCCACCUUGGGCA
This 69-nucleotide transfer RNA is filed under the name Podarcis lilfordi (Lilford's wall lizard). Its description in RNAcentral is "tRNA.Lys". It matches the Rfam family "tRNA". From Rfam's summary of the family: Transfer RNA (tRNA) molecules are approximately 80 nucleotides in length. Their secondary structure includes four short double-helical elements and three loops (D, anti-codon, and T loops). The record is from RNAcentral. Lineage: Eukaryota; Metazoa; Chordata; Lepidosauria; Squamata; Lacertidae.